UACGUAGGGCGCAAGCGUUGUCCGGAAUUAUUGGGCGUAAAGAGCUCGUAGGCGGUUUGUCGCGUCGGGUGUGAAAGCCCACAGCUUAACUGUGGGUCUGCAUUCGAUACGGGCAGACUAGAGGCAGGUAGGGGAGCAUGGAAUUCCCGGUGUAGCGGUGAAAUGCGCAGAUAUCGGGAGGAACACCGGUGGCGAAGGCGGUGCUCUGGGCCUGUACUGACGCUGAGGAGCGAAAGCGUGGGGAGCGAACAGG
This 253-nucleotide ribosomal RNA is filed under the name uncultured bacterium. RNAcentral describes it as "partial 16S ribosomal RNA". It matches the Rfam family "Bacterial small subunit ribosomal RNA", at positions 524 to 776 of the family's 1533-position model. The record is from RNAcentral.